RNAcentral lists this ribosomal RNA (579 nucleotides) under uncultured beta proteobacterium. RNAcentral describes it as "bacterial SSU rRNA". It matches the Rfam family "Bacterial small subunit ribosomal RNA", at positions 108 to 683 of the family's 1533-position model. Lineage: Bacteria; Pseudomonadati; Pseudomonadota; Betaproteobacteria. The record is from RNAcentral.
GAGUAAUGUAUCGGAACGUGCCUAGUAGCGGGGGAUAACUACGCGAAAGCGUAGCUAAUACCGCAUACGCCCUACGGGGGAAAGCAGGGGAUCGCAAGACCUUGCACUAUUAGAGCGGCCGAUAUCGGAUUAGCUAGUUGGUGGGGUAACGGCUCACCAAGGCGACGAUCCGUAGCUGGUUUGAGAGGACGACCAGCCACACUGGGACUGAGACACGGCCCAGACUCCUACGGGAGGCAGCAGUGGGGAAUUUUGGACAAUGGGGGAAACCCUGAUCCAGCCAUCCCGCGUGUGCGAUGAAGGCCUUCGGGUUGUAAAGCACUUUUGGCAGGAAAGAAACGUCAUGGGCUAAUACCCCGUGAAACUGACGGUACCUGCAGAAUAAGCACCGGCUAACUACGUGCCAGCAGCCGCGGUAAUACGUAGGGUGCAAGCGUUAAUCGGAAUUACUGGGCGUAAAGCGUGCGCAGGCGGUUCGGAAAGAAAGAUGUGAAAUCCCAGAGCUUAACUUUGGAACUGCAUUUUUAACUACCGAGCUAGAGUGUGUCAGAGGGAGGUGGAAUUCCGCGUGUAGCAGUG